UCAGCGUGGGUUCGGCAUGUGAUGCUGCCCCCGCGCUCUUACUAUGGUAGAUGCUAGAAUCAAGUGGGCUAAGGGACCUUUUCCGUAAGGGGGAGGAGUUACGACGCAAGGGGGAGGAGCUAGGCUAGCGGGAUAGUUCGUUUUCUAUUAUCCACGCCACCAACUAUUACCUUUAGUAAUUAGGUGGUGAGCGAAGCGGAGCGGAGCGAGCCACCGUGCCCGAAGCGUGGCGAGCGAACUUUUCGGGUACCCUGUUCGUCCGUAGCUCCUCCCCCUGGUGACGUAGCCCCUCCCCUCAAUACGUCACAAGGUCCCUUCAGCCACUCCGAUAUAGAACCAACUGCCGGCCCCACAGCGCAGCACUGCAGGAGAGGAGACAGAGAGACAGCCCUCACUGCUGGGAGCUGAGCUCUCCGGCUGUCAGGGGGCGGAGCCAAGCUCAGGCAGACGUUACAGACAGAAGGCCCACACUCCGGAGGAGCAGAGGUGACAGGAAGUGUCGCCACCUUUCUCCUGGAUCUGAUGCUCCGCCCCCCUGCAGUGUCUCUAGGGAGAGACAUGAUGACAUGGGGGUUGAGGAGGAGGCAUUCCAGCUCACAGUGCAGCAGCAGCCCAGUGAGUCCGGAGUCAGACCUCCGGUGACCUUUUCCCCACCUGCCGUCAGUCACAGAGCUUGGGGUGCCUGCUCUCAUCUUGUCUUCAAGAUGCACAGAUUCUUCUUCACUUCAACAGCGGUGACAGCAUAAUAUAACAUACGCCGUGCUGGAAAAUGAAGCCACUUGGACCUAAGGAGGGGAUGAAUGCUAUCCAACAGACACAGCAUGUGUCAGGAGAGGUGGACUGUAAAUGGAGGAGGACCAUGAAGCCACCAGGACCUGAGGAAGAAGGAGGUGGCUGCAACGCGUCAGUAAAACUAGCGCCACCUGCAUCAUCUAGGUGAUGGGGCAGGUUUUACUGUGCAGGGCAAUGGAGGUAGUGGAACUAGUUCCUCCUACCACUACAGGUGGUGGAACUCAGUUCCAACUCGUUCCCUUCCACUUUAACCCCUGCAACAUGGGCAACCAUAUCCUGCGUACCUCUGUCUCUGAUGUUGGUCAUGAAGUGACAGGAAAACAGUCCGAACAUGGGCCCCUUGCAGCCAUUGUUGCUAAUUGAAUAGCCCCCCCACCACCACCACACAAAAAAAAUUUGUUCCUAUAUACAAUAUCGAGAAAACAUUUAAUUAGGAACCAUUUAUCAGUACAAGGCAGUGUUUCCACCACCAAGAUGUGCUUUAAGGCAGGAUACAUAACCUGUGAGUAAUCAAAGGGUGUAGCCGAAUCCCAGGGAGGAGGCCGUCUCUUUUUGAAACCAGGAUGGCUGAUGUGAAACUGCUGCAUAUGAACAGAGCAGCUUCACAUCGGCCAUCUUGGAAUGAAAGCGAGGCUGCCUCUUCCCUUGGAGCCAGCAACACUGAGGAGGAGACAACAGCAGUGGCCGCUACCAGGUCCUGGUGAGUAGUGUAUGUAUUGGGGGGUGGUAAAUGGUAGUUUAUGUCCCGGGGAAGGGGUGGGGGGUUACCCUGUCAUGGGAAGAGGGUCUCAUACCUCUUACUUUAGUCUGCAUACUCCAAUGCCUAUAAUAAAAUAAAUUGUUAAUAAGAACUGUAUGUAGGUGUUGGGUUCGGGUGACCGACUGUUGGGAGACCACCAGUCACCAUACCGACACUGAGAUUCCAGCUUUUAGAUGGCCGGCGGGGAGGGGGGAGUGUGAGCGCCACGAAGCCACCUGCGGUCCCGAUGCGUUCGCCACGCAGAAGACUCGGUGGCUCACUGCACUUGCCAAAGGUUCUAUUCCCACUCUAUGGGUAUCGUGGACACCCCAUGAGUGGGAAUGGUCCCUGUUGGUCGGCAUUCCGUCUUAGCAGAGGCUGCACCUUUCCUCAUAGGACAUGUCUAAUUUUAAGUAAUUGGCUUCCAGUUUGUUAUUUUAUAAUAAUAAUAAUAAUAAUAAUGAUGAUGCAUUCAUACAGAAUUGCCAUUUAGGGUAAAAAAAUUUUACAAAAAACAAACAUACUGGCAGUGAUGGGAUUCGAACCCACACCUCCAGAGAGACUGGAGCCUAAAUCCAGCACCUUAGACUGCUCAGCCACACUACCUGCUUUGUGCAUGGGGAAAUCUCCACUUCUAUGUAGAAAACUUUACACUGGAAAGUAGUUUCCUACAUGUAUAGUAUUCUUACCUUAGUACUUUUCCCAGGUGCACCUCUCUGCGAUCAGAGAUAAGUAAUUGCCACUAACAAUAGCUUGGAGGUCGUUCCCUUGUCCCAACCCUCUCUCUCUCACACACAAACACACACACACUCACACAUUAAUAUCACACACUUUAUAUUAAUACUGCACACUCCCCUAACACAUGCAAAAAUUAUAUUAACCAUUUCUCUCUCUCUCUCUCUCUCUCUCUCUCUCUCUCUCUCACACACACACACACA
Molecule: long non-coding RNA, 2469 nt
Organism: Pseudophryne corroboree (corroboree frog)
Lineage: Eukaryota; Metazoa; Chordata; Amphibia; Anura; Myobatrachidae
Exons: 3
Source: RefSeq, a predicted model, not a curated record